UGAUCGAAUAGUGGCCAAAAACAAUGA
RNAcentral lists this small RNA (27 nucleotides) under Bombyx mori (domestic silkworm). RNAcentral describes it as "ovarian small RNA-32649". Lineage: Eukaryota; Metazoa; Arthropoda; Insecta; Lepidoptera; Bombycidae. The record is from RNAcentral.